GGGACACGCUCGCGACGUAGAUCAGUGCAAGAAUGACGGAUGAGAGGCCGAUGGCCGUGUACUCGGUCGUGGAAAGCCCUUGCGACAGUUGCGUUGUCGAGGAGAACAUCACUUCUCGAACGUCUGGAACGAAGUGAAAAUUUAAAAAGCGAGAUUUGAAAGAGAGAGGCGGAAGACAGAUGCGAAUACCGACUGCUUUUGGACUGCGAGCCAGCCACCCUGAAAGCCACGCACGGGGUGAAGACACCGGGAAGCUUCGACUUCUGAGAGGCGUCUCUGCACACGAGUUUCGCUGUCACCACUCGACCCUCAGCCGCUUCUCUCAGCCCGGUUUCGCCGAUCCACUGCAACGAUUCCAAGAUUAUUCCCUCAAUGAUUGGGGAAGUUGAUUUUUGAAAUGGCGAGAAGACGAAUCGAAACGAAAAGUUUUCUUUUAUUCGUAUGAAAUGUUCGAUCGAAGGAAGUGUCAUAUCGUAUAUUUCGCCGUCCAAAUUUUUCUUCUUCGAUGAUGAAAUUUAAACGUGAUUUUCGCAGCAA
Molecule: long non-coding RNA, 537 nt
Organism: Apis cerana (Asiatic honeybee)
Lineage: Eukaryota; Metazoa; Arthropoda; Insecta; Hymenoptera; Apidae
Source: RefSeq, a predicted model, not a curated record